This 480-nucleotide ribosomal RNA is filed under the name uncultured bacterium. RNAcentral describes it as "bacterial SSU rRNA". It matches the Rfam family "Bacterial small subunit ribosomal RNA", at positions 335 to 832 of the family's 1533-position model. The record is from RNAcentral.
ACUCCUACGGGAGGCAGCAGUGGGGAAUAUUGGACAAUGGGCGCAAGCCUGAUCCAGCAAUGCCGCGUGGAUGAAGAAGGUCUUCGGAUUGUAAAGUCCUUUCGGCGGGGACGAUGAUGACGGUACCCGCAGAAGAAGCCCCGGCUAACUUCGUGCCAGCAGCCGCGGUAAUACGAAGGGGGCUAGCGUUGCUCGGAAUGACUGGGCGUAAAGGGCGCGUAGGCGGUUUGGUCAGUUAGACGUGAAAUUCCUGGGCUCAACCUGGGGACUGCGUUUAAGACGGCCAGGCUUGAGUGUGAAAGAGGGUCGUGGAAUUCCCAGUGUAGAGGUGAAAUUCGUAGAUAUUGGGAAGAACACCGGUGGCGAAGGCGGCGACCUGGUUCAUUACUGACGCUGAGGCGCGAAAGCGUGGGGAGCAAACAGGAUUAGAUACCCUGGUAGUCCACGCCGUAAACGAUGUGUGCUGGAUGUUGGGUGACC